CAGCAGCCGCGGGAAUACGUAGGGGGCAAGCGUUAUCCGGAAUUACUGGGUGUAAAGGGAGCGUAGACGGUUAAACAAGUCUGAAGUGAAAUGCCGGGGCUCAACCCCGGAGCUGCUUUGGGAACUGUAGAACUGGAGUGUCGGAGGGGUAAGCGGAAUUCCCAGUGUAGCGGUGAAAUGCGUAGAUAUUGGGAGGAACACCGGCGGCGAAGGCGGCUUACUGGACGACAACUGACGUUGAGGCUCGAAGGCGUGGGUGGCAAACAGGAUUAGAUACCCGCGUAGUCCCUGUCUCUUAUAA
Molecule: ribosomal RNA, 301 nt
Filed under: uncultured bacterium
Lineage: Bacteria
Description: partial 16S ribosomal RNA
Rfam family: Bacterial small subunit ribosomal RNA
Source: RNAcentral